GGCUUAGUGGUACAGCUUGGUUAUUAUACCCGAGUAAAUGCUCUGGGAGACCAUGGGUUCGAAUCCCAUCUGGGCUU
Molecule: non-coding RNA, 77 nt
Organism: Chaetomium strumarium
Lineage: Eukaryota; Fungi; Ascomycota; Sordariomycetes; Sordariales; Chaetomiaceae
Source: the annotation of a RefSeq genome assembly